GAUGAACGCUGGCGGCGUGCCUAAUACAUGCAAGUCGAGCGAACGGACGAGAAGCUUGCUUCUCUGAUGUUAGCGGCGGACGGGUGAGUAACACGUGGAUAACCUACCUAUAAGACUGGGAUAACUUCGGGAAACCGGAGCUAAUACCGGAUAAUAUUUUGAACCGCAUGGUUCAAAAGUGAAAGACGGUCUUGCUGUCACUUAUAGAUGGAUCCGCGCUGCAUUAGCUAGUUGGUAAGGUAACGGCUUACCAAGGCAACGAUGCAUAGCCGACCUGAGAGGGGGAUCGGCCACACUGGAACUGGGACACGGUCCAGACUCCUGCGGGAGGCAGCAGUAGGGAAUCUUCCGCAAUGGGCGAAAGCCUGACGGAGCAACGCCGCGUGAGUGAUGAAGGUCUUCGGAUCGUAAAACUCUGUUAUUAGGGAAGAACAUAUGUGUAAGUAACUGUGCACAUCUUGACGGUACCUAAUCAGAAAGCCACGGCUAACUACGUG
This 497-nucleotide ribosomal RNA is filed under the name uncultured bacterium. RNAcentral describes it as "partial 16S ribosomal RNA". It matches the Rfam family "Bacterial small subunit ribosomal RNA", at positions 28 to 507 of the family's 1533-position model. The record is from RNAcentral.